AGUAAAAGUCGUAACAAGGUUUCCGUAGGUGAACCUGCGGAAGGAUCAUUACCUAGAGUUGCGGGCUUUGCCUGCCAUCUCUUACCCAUGUCUUUUGAGUACCUUCGUUUCCUCGGCGGGUUCGCCCGCCGAUUGGACAAAACUUAAACCCUUUGUAAUUGAAAUCAGCGUCUGAAAAAAACAUAAUAGUUACAACUUUCAACAACGGAUCUCUUGGUUCUGGCAUCGAUGAAGAACGCAGCGAAAUGCGAUAAGUAGUGUGAAUUGCAGAAUUCAGUGAAUCAUCGAAUCUUUGAACGCACAUUGCGCCCCUUGGUAUUCCAUGGGGCAUGCCUGUUCGAGCGUCAUUUGUACCUUCAAGCUCUGCUUGGUGUUGGGUGUUUGUCUCGCCUCUGCGCGCAGACUCGCCUCAAAACGAUUGGCAGCCGGCGUAUUGAUUUCGGAGCGCAGUACAUCUCGCGCUUUGCACUCACAACGACGACGUCCAAAAAGUACAUUUUUACACUCUUGACCUCGGAUCAGGUAGGGAUACCCGCUGAACUUAAGCAUAUCAAUAAGCGGAGGAAAAGAAACCAACAGGGAUUGCCCUAGUAACGGCGAGUGAAGCGGCAACAGCUCAAAUUUGAAAUCUGGCGUCUUCGGCGUCCGAGUUGUAAUUUGCAGAGGGCGCUUUGGCAUUGGCAGCGGUCCAAGUUCCUUGGAACAGGACGUCACAGAGGGUGAGAAUCCCGUACGUGGUCGCUAGCCUUUACCGUGUAAAGCCCCUUCGACGAGUCGAGUUGUUUGGGAAUGCAGCUCUAAAUGGGAGGUAAAUUUCUUCUAAAGCUAAAUACUGGCCAGAGACCGAUAGCGCACAAGUAGAGUGAUCGAAAGAUGAAAAGCACUUUGGAAAGAGAGUUAAAAAGCACGUGAAAUUGUUGAAAGGGAAGCGCUUGCAGCCAGACUUGCCUGUAGUUGCUCAUCCGGGUUUCUACCCGGUGCACUCUUCUAUAGGCAGGCCAGCAUCAGUUUGGGCGGUUGGAUAAAGGUCUCUGUCAUGUACCUCCUUUCGGGGAGAUCUUAUAGGGGAGACGACAUGCAACCAGCCUGGACUGAGGUCCGCGCAUCUGCUAGGAUGCUGGCGUAAUGGCUGUAAGCGGCCCGUCUUGAAACACGGACCAAGGAGUCUAACAUCUAUGCGAGUGUUUGGGUGUCAAGCCCGAACGCGUAAUGAAAGUGAACGGAGGUGGGAACCUUUCGGGGUGCACCAUCGACCGAUCCUGAUGUCUUCGGAUGGAUUUGAGUAAGAGCAUAGCUGUUGGGACCCGAAAGAUGGUGAACUAUGCUUGAAUAGGGUGAAGCCAGAGGAAACUCUGGUGGAGGCUCGCAGCGGUUCUGACGUGCAAAUCGAUCGUCAAAUUUGGGCAUAGGGGCGAAAGAC
This 1420-nucleotide unclassified non-coding RNA is filed under the name Stagonosporopsis cucurbitacearum. Its description in RNAcentral is "partial contains 18S rRNA, ITS1, 5.8S rRNA, ITS2 and 28S RNA". The stretch from base 509 to 1420 matches the Rfam family "Eukaryotic large subunit ribosomal RNA", at positions 1 to 931 of the family's 3401-position model. Lineage: Eukaryota; Fungi; Ascomycota; Dothideomycetes; Pleosporales; Didymellaceae. The record is from RNAcentral.